Molecule: transfer-messenger RNA, 364 nt
Filed under: Solirubrobacterales bacterium
Lineage: Bacteria; Bacillati; Actinomycetota; Thermoleophilia; Solirubrobacterales
Rfam family: transfer-messenger RNA
About the family: Bacterial tmRNA, also known as 10Sa RNA or SsrA, is named for its dual tRNA and mRNA-like properties. Its role is to liberate the mRNA from a stalled ribosome.
Source: RNAcentral
GGGGACGACAGGCUUCGACGUGGUCGCUUCGUGGGGGUGGUUGCGAGUCGAGGUGUCGGAGGCCUCGUAAAACCCCGGCAAAAAAACAAGUGCGAAGUCUCACGACUUCUCGCUCGCUGCCUAGCAAACACUAGGUGACGGGCCUUGGCCCCCGGAGCCUGCGACGGGAUCAGGUCGAGUCAACAAGCAGGCCAAUGCCCCCGAAACGCCUGCCUGAGCCGCCCGGGGGGACCUUUGAUCAGGCUGGUCCUUCUCAACCCCGCCGGCGUGGCGAGCGAAGGGCGAGAUACAGAGCGCCGGACAUACUCGUAGACGUCACCUUUCACGCGAUUGCGGACGUGGGUUCAAUUCCCACCGUCUCCAC